GUCCGGAAUUACUGGGCGUAAAGAGCUCGUAGGUGGUUUGUCGCGUUGUUCGUGAAAUCUCACGGCUUAACUGUGAGCGUGCGGGCGAUACGGGCAGACUUGAGUACUGCAGGGGAGACUGGAAUUCCUGGUGUAGCGGUGGAAUGCGCAGAUAUCAGGAGGAACACCGGUGGCGAAGGCGGGUCUCUGGGCAGUAACUGACGCUGAGGAGCGAAAGCGUGGGGAGCGAACAGGAUUAGAUACCCUGGUAGUCCACGCCGUAAACGGUGGGUACUAGGUGUGGGUUUCCUUCCUUGGGAUCCGCGCCGUAGCUAACGCAUUAAGUACCCCGCCUGGGGAGUACGGCCGCAAGGCUAAAACUCAAAGAAAUUGACGGGGGCCCGCACAAGCGGCGGAGCAUGUGGAUUAAUUCGAUGCAACGCGAAGAACCUUACCUGGGUUUGACAUGCACAGGACGCCGGCAGAGAUGUCGGUUCCCUUGUGGCCUGUGUGCAGGUGGUGCAUGGCUGUCGUCAGCUCGUGUCGUGAGAUGUUGGGUUAAGUCCCGCAACGAGCGCAACCCUUGUCUCAUGUUGCCAGCGGGUAAUGCCGGGGACUCGUGAGAGACUGCCGGGGUCAACUCGGAGGAAGGUGGGGAUGACGUCAAGUCAUCAUGCCCCUUAUGUCCAGGGCUUCACACAUGCUACAAUGGCCGGUACAAAGGGCUGCGAUGCCGCGAGGUUAAGCGAAUCCUUUUAAAGCCGGUCUCAGUUCGGAUCGGGGUCUGCAACUCGACCCCGUGAAGUCGGAGUCGAUAGUAAUCGCA
This 805-nucleotide ribosomal RNA is filed under the name uncultured Mycobacterium sp. Its description in RNAcentral is "bacterial SSU rRNA". It matches the Rfam family "Bacterial small subunit ribosomal RNA", at positions 543 to 1346 of the family's 1533-position model. The record is from RNAcentral. Lineage: Bacteria; Bacillati; Actinomycetota; Actinomycetes; Mycobacteriales; Mycobacteriaceae.